AUUCACUUUUAUUGACCACGAAAACAUACAAAUGAACAGGAUUCAGGCUAAACACAAAGCUAUGCAACUACAACUACCCACAAUACCCCAUACAAAACAACCCCUAUACAUAGGACCUUCAAUCAGAGGCAACUAGAAACAGCUGCCUCCAAUUGAAGGUCAAAUCAAUAAACUGAAAAUAGACGUAAACAACCUAGAACUAACAUAGAAUACACUAACCUAGAACCUAAACCUAAAACCCCGGUACACUCUAAACCAACACCCCUCUACAUAAACACAUAGCCCAAAAACCCCGAAACACUCUAAACAAAUACCCCUUCUACAUGAACACAUAAUAUAACAAAGCCCUAAACACUCUAAACAAAUACCCCCUGCCACGUCCUGACCAAGCUACAAUAACAAAUGAUCCAUUUACUGGUCAGGACGUGACAUCCAUUCCAUUCCAUUGUUAGUUUACCUUUAUUUCCUCUGUCACAUUCGUGUGGUUGUUCUGAGGAUCAUAUUAGGCUAGCUUAUUACAAGUUGUGCAAUAAUUUGGGACAUGUAGGAUAUUUGAAUCAUUAUGGAACACAGACCAUAGGUAGCAGUUUAACCCUAGAGCCUGGUGCACGGUUCACGACGACUGGACCGUUGUAAUAACAGUUCCAGUAUUAGUGAGGAUUAUUAGGGUAGAUUUAUAGGACUACUGUUGUAUCUUACUACAGUAUGUAUCUUGUUUGUGUGUGUGUGUGUGUUCAGGGAGAAAAGGCAGUUCCGGGUGUACAUAGUGAUGCCUCUGCUACCCAGAUUUGAAGGCGACAUCUCCUCAGGAGGGGGCCAAGCCAUCAAAGCCAUCAUGUACUUUAAUUACAGGACCAUGUGCCGGGGAGAUCACAUCGAGAGACUGAAAUGUUGGAAGCCUGCUGGAUCAACUACAUCUCGUUCUGUGGGCUGAGGACUCAUGCUGACCUGGACGACAGACUAGUCACUGAGCUGAUCUAUGUCCACAGCAAACUGGUCAUAGUGAACAAUCACACCAUCAUCCUCAGUCAGCUCAGCCAACAUCAACGACAGAAGCAUGCUGGGUAAGCGCGACAGUGAGAUGGCGGUGGUGGUGGAGGACUCGGACAUGGUAAUGGCUGUGAUGGACGGAGAGAGCUACCAGGUUGGGAGGUUUGCCUUGUCACUCAGAGAAGAGUGUUUCAGGUCAUUCAAAUUAAUAAGAAAAAGUGGGGUAAAUUGAGUUGUUUUAACAUUCAGCAGCACUCCUUCAAAGGAAAUAUAAUUUUCUUUCUAACAAAGAC
This 1283-nucleotide long non-coding RNA is filed under the name Salmo salar (Atlantic salmon). Its description in RNAcentral is "lncRNA (ENSSSAG00000114719.1)". Lineage: Eukaryota; Metazoa; Chordata; Actinopteri; Salmoniformes; Salmonidae. The record is from RNAcentral.